Molecule: ribosomal RNA, 2953 nt
Filed under: Clostridioides difficile CD196
Lineage: Bacteria; Bacillati; Bacillota; Clostridia; Peptostreptococcales; Peptostreptococcaceae
Description: bacterial LSU rRNA
Rfam family: Bacterial large subunit ribosomal RNA
Source: RNAcentral
GGUCAAGUUAUUAAGGGUGCAGGGCGGAUGCCUUGGCACUAGGAGCCGAUGAAGGACGUGAUAAGCUGCGAUAAGCUUCGGGGAGUUGCACGUAAACUUUGAUCCGAAGAUUUCCGAAUGAGGAAACUCACUUAGAGUAAUGUCUAAGUAUCAUUAAGUGAAUACAUAGCUUAAUGAGGGGAACUCAGGGAACUGAAACAUCUAAGUACCUGAAGGAAGAGAAAGAAAUUCGAUUCCGUAAGUAGCGGCGAGCGAACGCGGAUUAGCCCAAACCAAUAAAGUUUUCUUUAUUGGGGUUGCGGACAUAUCAUAACGAAGAGGUAUCGUAAUUGAAGAGGUUUGGAAAGACCCACCACAGAAGGUAAUAGUCCUGUAUGUUAAACGAGAAGACUUUAGAUAUGAUCCAGAGUACCACGGGACACGUGAAACCCUGUGGGAAGCAGGAGGGACCACCCUCCAAGGCUAAAUACUACCUAGUGACCGAUAGCGUAUAGUACCGUGAGGGAAAGGUGAAAAGAACCCCGGGAGGGGAGUGAAAUAGAACCUGAAACCCUGCACUUACAAGCUGUGGAAGCACAUUUCUUGUGUGACCGCGUACUUUUUGUAGAACGGGCCAACGAGUUACGUUAAGUAGCAAGGUUAAGCACUUAAGGUGCGGAGCCGUAGCGAAAGCGAGUUUUAACUGAGCGUUCAGUUACUUGACGUAGACCCGAAACCGGGCGACCUACCCAUGAGCAGGAUGAAGCGAAAGUAAAAUUUCGUGGAGGUCCGAACCCACGAGCGUUGAAAAGCUCGGGGAUGACUUGUGGGUAGCGGUGAAAUUCCAAUCGAGCCCGGAGAUAGCUGGUUCUCCCCGAAAUAGCUUUAGGGCUAGCCUCAAGGUGAGAGAUACGGAGGUAGAGCACUGAAUGUCCUAGGGGGUAUUGCACCUACCGAAGACUAUCAAACUCCGAAUGCCGUCAUCUUAUACUUGGGAGUCAGACUGUGGGUGAUAAGAUUCAUAGUCGAAAGGGCAACAGCCCAGAUCGUCAGCUAAGGUCCCUAAAUGUAAGUUAAGUGGUAAAGGAUGUGGGAUUGCACAGACAACCAGGAUGUUGGCUUAGAAGCAGCCACUCAUUCAAAGAGUGCGUAAUAGCUCACUGGUCGAGUGAUCCUGCGCCGAAGAUUUCCGGGGCUAAAACUUACUACCGAAGCUACGGCAUCAGUAAUGAUGGGUAGGGGAGCUUCCCAUACGGGUUGAAGCAUGACCGUAAGGACAUGUGGACAGUAUGGGAGUGAGAAUGUUGGCAUGAGUAGCGAGAUGUGGGUGAGAAUCCCACAGGCCGUAAACCCAAGGUUUCCAGGGGAAGGUUCGUCCGCCCUGGGUUAGUCGGGACCUAAGCUGAGGCCGAAAGGCGUAGGUGAUGGACAACAGGUUGAUAUUCCUGUACUACCGAUAACCGUUUGAGAGAAGGGAUGACACAGUAGGAUAAGCUAAGCACACUGUUGGUUAUGUGUGCCCAAGCAUUGAGGCAGUCAAAGUAGGCAAAUCCGCUUUGAUAAUGCUGGGAUGUGAUGGGGAGCGAAAUUUAGUAGCGAAGUAGCUGAUUUCACACUGUCAAGAAAAGUCUCUAUCGAGGUUAAAGGUACCCGUACCGCAAACCGACACAGGUGGGUGAGGAGAGUAUCCUAAGGCCAGCGAGAGAACUGUUGUUAAGGAACUCGGCAAAAUGACCCCGUAACUUAGGGAUAAGGGGUGCCACCAUCAGGUGGCCGCAGAGAAUAGGCCCAAGCGACUGUUUACCAAAAACAUAGGUUUCUGCUAAGUCGCAAGACGAUGUAUAGGAGCUGACGCCUGCCCGGUGCUGGAAGGUUAAGGGGAUCUGUUAGAGCAAUCGAAGCAGUGAACUUAAGCCCCAGUAAACGGCGGCCGUAACUAUAACGGUCCUAAGGUAGCGAAAUUCCUUGUCGGGUAAGUUCCGACCCGCACGAAAGGCGUAACGAUUUGGGCACUGUCUCAACAACAGACUCGGUGAAAUUGUAAUUCCGGUGAAGAUGCCGGAUACCUGCGACAGGACGGAAAGACCCCAUGGAGCUUUACUGUAGCUUGACAUUGGGUCUUGGUACUACAUGUACAGGAUAGGUGGGAGGCUUUGAAACCAGGACGCCAGUUUUGGCGGAGCCAUCCUUGGGAUACCACCCUUGUAGUACUGGGACUCUAACCAUAGGCCAUGAAUCUGGUCUUGGGACACUGUCAGGUGGGCAGUUUGACUGGGGCGGUCGCCUCCCAAAAGGUAACGGAGGCGCUCAAAGGUUCUCUCAGUACGGUCGGAAAUCGUACGUAGAGUGUAAAGGCAAAAGAGAGCUUGAUUGCAAGACAUACAGGUCGAGCAAGGAUGAAAAUCGGACUUAGUGAUCCGGUGGUUCUGCGUGGAAGGGCCAUCGCUCAACGGAUAAAAGCUACCCUGGGGAUAACAGGCUUAUCUCCCCCAAGAGUCCACAUCGACGGGGAGGUUUGGCACCUCGAUGUCGGCUCAUCACAUCCUGGGGCUGUAGUAGGUCCCAAGGGUUGGGCUGUUCGCCCAUUAAAGUGGUACGCGAGCUGGGUUCAGAACGUCGUGAGACAGUUCGGUCCCUAUCCGUCGCAGGCGUAGGAAAUUUGAGAAGACCUGUCCUUAGUACGAGAGGACCGGGAUGGACGUACCUCUGGUGUACCAGUUGUCCUGCCAAGGGCAUGGCUGGGUAGCUAUGUACGGAAUGGAUAAGCGCUGAAAGCAUCUAAGCGCGAAGCCAACUUCAAGAUAAGAUUUCCCACCGCAAGGGUAAGACCCCAGAAAGACUAUCUGGUUGAUAGGUCGAAGGUGUAAGUGCAGCAAUGUAUUUAGCUUAUCGAUACUAAUAGGUCGAGGACUUGACCAAUAUUUAUUUGAUGUUCAUUCAUUAGGAUAUAUAUGUAGUUUUUAGGGUGCUAACU